Molecule: antisense RNA, 192 nt
Filed under: Baumannia cicadellinicola str. Hc (Homalodisca coagulata)
Lineage: Bacteria; Pseudomonadati; Pseudomonadota; Gammaproteobacteria
Description: Yersinia sRNA 276
Rfam family: Yersinia sRNA 276
Source: Rfam by way of RNAcentral
AAUUGACAUUAGUGAUUCAUUAGCAGAACCUUGGCCAACAGCUAAAUAAGCAUUCAUACCUAACUCUUUCAUCUGUUGUUUGCCCAAAACACUAGCAUUAAUAUGUUUAUUACUAUUAGCUAACUCAUGAGCUUUAGAGGCAAGAUAGGCUGAGUUACAGAUAUUAGGUGGCAUAUUAGCUAAAUCUUUAGC